GCCGGAGUAGCACAACUGGCAGUGCAACGGUUUUGUAAACCGUAGGUUGGGGGUUCGAGUCCCUCCUCCGGCA
Molecule: transfer RNA, 73 nt
Filed under: Gammaproteobacteria bacterium
Lineage: Bacteria; Pseudomonadati; Pseudomonadota; Gammaproteobacteria
Description: tRNA-Thr
Rfam family: tRNA
About the family: Transfer RNA (tRNA) molecules are approximately 80 nucleotides in length. Their secondary structure includes four short double-helical elements and three loops (D, anti-codon, and T loops).
Source: RNAcentral